This 432-nucleotide ribosomal RNA is filed under the name uncultured bacterium. RNAcentral's name for it is "partial 16S ribosomal RNA". It matches the Rfam family "Bacterial small subunit ribosomal RNA", at positions 29 to 506 of the family's 1533-position model. The record is from RNAcentral.
AACGAACGCUGGCGGCAGGCCUAACACAUGCAAGUCGAGCGAGGACUUCGGUCCUAGCGGCGGACGGGUGAGUAACGCGUGGGAACGUGCCCUUUGCUUCGGAAUAGCCCUGGGAAACUGGGAGUAAUACCGGAUGAGCCCUUUGGGGGAAAGAUUUAUCGGCGAAGGAUCGGCCCGCGUUGGAUUAGGUAGUUGGUGGGGUAAUGGCCUACCAAGCCGACGAUCCAUAGCUGGUUUGAGAGGAUGAUCAGCCACACUGGGACUGAGACACGGCCCAGACUCCUCGGGGGGGGAGCAGGGGGGAAUUUUAGAAAAGGGGGGAAACCCUGAUCCAGCCAUGCCGGGUGAGGGAUGAAGGCCUUAGGGUUUUAAAGCUUUUUCCGCGGGGAAGAUAAUGGCGGGACCAGCAGAAGAAACCCCGGCUAACCCCGU